AGCGAACGCUGGCGGCAGGCCUAACACAUGCAAGUCGAACGGAUCCUUCGGGAUUAGUGGCGGGCGGGUGAGUAACACGUGGGAACGUGCCCUUUGGUUCGGAACAACUCAGGGAAACUUGAGCUAAUACCGGAUGUGCCCUUCGGGGGAAAGAUUUAUCGCCAUUGGAGCGGCCCGCGUCUGAUUAGCUAGUUGGUGAGGUAACGGCCCACCAAGGCGACGAUCAGUAGCUGGUCUGAGAGGAUGAUCAGCCACACUGGGACUGAGACACGGCCCAGACUCCUACGGGAAGCAGCAGUGGGGAAUCUUGCGCAAUGGGCGAAAGCCUGACGCAGCCAUGCCGCGUGAAUGAUGAAGGUCUUAGGAUUGUAAAAUUCUUUCAGCGGGGACGAUAAUGACGGUACCCGCAGAAGAAGCUCCGGCUAACUUCGUG
RNAcentral lists this ribosomal RNA (433 nucleotides) under uncultured bacterium. RNAcentral describes it as "partial 16S ribosomal RNA". It matches the Rfam family "Bacterial small subunit ribosomal RNA", at positions 29 to 507 of the family's 1533-position model. The record is from RNAcentral.